This 207-nucleotide unclassified non-coding RNA is filed under the name fungal sp. RNAcentral's name for it is "partial internal transcribed spacer region". The stretch from base 1 to 46 matches the Rfam family "Eukaryotic small subunit ribosomal RNA", at positions 1786 to 1831 of the family's 1831-position model. Lineage: Eukaryota; Fungi. The record is from RNAcentral.
AAGUCGUAACAAGGUCUCCGUAGGUGAACCUGCGGAGGGAUCAUUAAAACACGUAUCCACGUAUCAACCUUUUGUGAACCUGUUUUUAUAACAAUCACUUUUAACGCUUGAAACUUAACUGUAAACUGUUUUAUGUGUUAACGCACAUCAAACCAAACAUAUAACCAAUUGAUAUCACAACUCUUAGCAACGGAUAUCUUGGCUCUC